AUUGAACGCUGGCGGCAUGCUUUACACAUGCAAGUCGAACGGUAACAGGCCGCAAGGUGCUGACGAGUGGCGAACGGGUGAGUAAUGCAUCGGAACGUGCCCAGUCGUGGGGGUUAACUACUCGAAAGAGUAGCUAAUACCGCAUCCGAUCUAUGGAUGAAAGCGGGGGACCGUAAGGCCUCGCGCGAUUGGAGCGGCCGAUGUCAGAUUAGGUAGUUGGUGGGGUAAAGGCUCACCAAGCCAACGAUCUGUAGCUGGUCUGAGAGGACGACCAGCCACACUGGGACUGAGACACGGCCCAGACUCCUACGGGAGGCAGCAGUGGGGAAUUUUGGACAAUGGGCGCAAGCCUGAUCCAGCAAUGCCGCGUGCAGGAAGAAGGCCUUCGGGUUGUAAACUGCUUUUGUACGGAACGAAACGGCUCUGGUUAAUACCCGGGGCUAAUGACGGUACCGUAAGAAUAAGCACCGGCUAACUACGUG
RNAcentral lists this ribosomal RNA (482 nucleotides) under uncultured bacterium. RNAcentral describes it as "partial 16S ribosomal RNA". It matches the Rfam family "Bacterial small subunit ribosomal RNA", at positions 30 to 507 of the family's 1533-position model. The record is from RNAcentral.